Molecule: ribosomal RNA, 554 nt
Filed under: uncultured bacterium
Lineage: Bacteria
Description: bacterial SSU rRNA
Rfam family: Bacterial small subunit ribosomal RNA
Source: RNAcentral
GAGUUUGAUCCUGGCUCAGGACGAACGCUGGCGGCGUGCCUAAUACAUGCAAGUAGAACGCUGACUACUUUAGCUUGCUAGAGUAGAAGGAGUUGCGAACGGGUGAGUAACGCGUAGGUAACCUGCCUACUAGCGGGGGAUAACUAUUGGAAACGAUAGCUAAUACCGCAUAACAGUGUUUAACACAUGUUAGAUGCUUGAAAGAUGCAAUUGCAUCACUAGUAGAUGGACCUGCGUUGUAUUAGCUAGUUGGUGGGGUAACGGCCCACCAAGGCGACGAUACAUAGCCGACCUGAGAGGGUGAUCGGCCACACUGGGACUGAGACACGGCCCAGACUCCUACGGGAGGCAGCAGUAGGGAAUCUUCGGCAAUGGGGGCAACCCUGACCGAGCAACGCCGCGUGAGUGAAGAAGGUUUUCGGAUCGUAAAGCUCUGUUGUAAGAGAAGAACGUGUGUGAGAGUGGAAAGUUCACACAGUGACGGUAACUUACCAGAAAGGGACGGCUAACUACGUGCCAGCAGCCGCGGUAAUACGUAGGUCCCGUGCGUUGUC